RNAcentral lists this ribosomal RNA (398 nucleotides) under uncultured bacterium. Its description in RNAcentral is "partial 16S ribosomal RNA". It matches the Rfam family "Bacterial small subunit ribosomal RNA", at positions 523 to 918 of the family's 1533-position model. The record is from RNAcentral.
AUACGUAGGGUGCGAGCGUUGUCCGGAAUCACUGGGCGUAAAGAGCUCGUAGGUGGUUUGUCGCGUCGUCUGUGAAAUUCCGGGGCUUAACUCCGGGCGUGCAGGCGAUACGGGCAUAACUUGAGUACUGUAGGGGAGACUGGAAUUCCUGGUGUAGCGGUGAAAUGCGCAGAUAUCAGGAGGAACACCGGUGGCGAAGGCGGGUCUCUGGGCAGUAACUGACGCUGAGGAGCGAAAGCAUGGGUAGCGAACAGGAUUAGAUACCCUGGUAGUCCAUGCCGUAAACGGUGGGCGCUAGGUGUAGGGGUCUUCCACGACUUCUGUGCCGUAGCUAACGCAUUAAGCGCCCCGCCUGGGGAGUACGGCCGCAAGGCUAAAACUCAAAGGAAUUGACGGGG